AGUGAACGCUGGCGGUAGGCCUAACACAUACAAGUCGAACGGCAGCACAGUAAGAGCUUGCUCUUACGGGUGGCGAGUGGCGGACGGGUGAGGAAUACAUCGGAAUGUACUUUUUCGUGGGGGAUAACGUAGGGAAACUUACGCUAAUACCGCAUACGACCUACGGGUGAAAGCAGGGGAUCUUCGGACCUUGCGCGAUUGAAUGAGCCGAUGUCGGAUUAGCUAGUUGGCGGGGUAAAGGCCCACCAAGGUGACGAUCCGUAGCUGGUCUGAGAGGAUGAUCAGCCACACUGGAACUGAGACACGGUCCAGACUCCUACGGGAGGCAGCAGUGGGGAAUAUUGGACAAUGGGCGCAAGCCUGAUCCAGCCAUACCGCGUGGGUGAAGAAGGCCUUCGGGUUGUAAAGCCCUUUUGUUGGGAAAGAAAAGCAGCAGGUUAAUACCCCGCUGUUCUGACGGUACCCAAAGAAUAAGCACCGGCUAACUUCGUG
Molecule: ribosomal RNA, 492 nt
Filed under: uncultured bacterium
Lineage: Bacteria
Description: partial 16S ribosomal RNA
Rfam family: Bacterial small subunit ribosomal RNA
Source: RNAcentral